Molecule: ribosomal RNA, 253 nt
Filed under: uncultured bacterium
Lineage: Bacteria
Description: partial 16S ribosomal RNA
Rfam family: Bacterial small subunit ribosomal RNA
Source: RNAcentral
UACGUAGGGUGGAAGCGUUGUCCGGAAUUAUUGGGCGUAAAGAGCUCGUAGGCGGUCUGUCGCGUCGGCUGUGAAAACCCGGGGCUCAACCCCGGGCCUGCAGUCGAUACGGGCAGACUAGAGUGCGGUAGGGGAGACUGGAAUUCCUGGUGUAGCGGUGAAAUGCGCAGAUAUCAGGAGGAACACCGGUGGCGAAGGCGGGUCUCUGGGCCGUUACUGACGCUGAGGAGCGAAAGCGCGGGGAGCGAACAGG